This 954-nucleotide long non-coding RNA is filed under the name Pan paniscus (pygmy chimpanzee). RNAcentral's name for it is "lncRNA (ENSPPAG00000045369.1)". Lineage: Eukaryota; Metazoa; Chordata; Mammalia; Primates; Hominidae. The record is from RNAcentral.
GGGGCAUACCCCCGCCCCCAGCUCCGCACCAGGCAAACCUGGGCAUAUGGGCCUGCCCCUGCUGGUGAGGCGGCCACAACGGUGUGUGGGAAUGGGAUGCUCUGUGACCCAGGUGGUGUGGGCUGAGUCCCGGGAGCCAAAGGGCAGAGGCAGGAUCAGCCACGGGAUUCCAGCCUUGGUCUUCCGGGGUAAGCUCCACAAAGGCGGGAAAGUCUGUCCCUGUCUAGGACAGUGGCUGGCACACGAGGGCCAUCGGUAAACUCUUGGAUGAACCAGGCUCAGAGACACGCAGUGCUCAAGGUCACACAGCGAGUCAGUGAGGGAGGGGAUGUGAAACCAGGGCCAAGGCUGCAGCGGACAGCAAAUCCAAAGAAGUGUUCCACUGAAUUCUGGAAGAAGAGACAGAGUGCAGGGCGUGAGCCUGGAGGCUGGGAGGCCCAGAAGGAGGCUGGCACAAAGGAGAGGGGACAGGCCAUGCAGUCCAAGGUGAGGAAGCAGUAUGGGCUGGUGUCAGGGCUGGUGGUGUGUGUUUGUGUGUGUGUGUGUGUGUGUAAAAAGUCCCCUUCAUCCCUAGAUUCUGAGGAAAGGGAGGGGCCCAUGCCAGCAUCCCCUCAAAGUCUGGGAAACCUGGAUCCCAGCCUCAUAGCGUCAGAACGUCAGAACAUCAGAACAGCCAGACCUGGCAGGGGAGGGGCCAGGGAGAAGGAGCAGAGGCAGUAUUUUCCCAGGGUCCCCUGGGGAGCCUGGCAGUGUGGACUGGGGGUGGGGCCGAGGAGGACAGAUGGGGCUGUGGGAGGGAGCAGCUGCCACUCUCCUCUCCAGGGAUGCCCGCUCCCCAACUCCAGCCCGCAUACCAGUGGGAGAGAUCGUGAGACCCUCCCCCUAUCCUUGCUCCCACCAGUCCUCAGUUUCCCUAGUGACACUGGAGAGACGAUCUGUGAGGACCCCCCCUGA